RNAcentral lists this ribosomal RNA (481 nucleotides) under uncultured bacterium. RNAcentral describes it as "partial 16S ribosomal RNA". It matches the Rfam family "Bacterial small subunit ribosomal RNA", at positions 30 to 507 of the family's 1533-position model. The record is from RNAcentral.
UUGAACGCUGGCGGCAUGCUUUACACAUGCAAGUCGAACGGUAACAGGCCGCAAGGUGCUGACGAGUGGCGAACGGGUGAGUAAUGCAUCGGAACGUGCCCAGUCGUGGGGGAUAACUACUCGAAAGAGUAGCCAAUACCGCAUACGAUCUAUGGAUGAAAGCGGGGGACCGUAAGGCCUCGCGCGAUUGGAGCGGCCGAUGUCAGAUUAGGUAGUUGGUGGGGUAAAGGCUCACCAAGCCAACGAUCUGUAGCUGGUCUGAGAGGACGACCAGCCACACUGGGACUGAGACACGGCCCAGACUCCUACGGGAGGCAGCAGUGGGGAAUUUUGGACAAUGGGCGCAAGCCUGAUCCAGCAAUGCCGCGUGCAGGAAGAAGGCCUUCGGGUUGUAAACUGCUUUUGUACGGAACGAAACGGCUCUGGUUAAUACCCGGGGCUAAUGACGGUACCGUAAGAAUAAGCACCGGCUAACUACGUG